RNAcentral lists this long non-coding RNA (1149 nucleotides) under Homo sapiens (human). RNAcentral's name for it is "HSALNT0205734". Lineage: Eukaryota; Metazoa; Chordata; Mammalia; Primates; Hominidae. The record is from RNAcentral.
GGUUUUGGGAGAUUGUAUCUUUCCUUCAUUGGGAUGGGUGUUGGUUAGAGGUCCAUUUUUUAAUUGAAAUGAUGAUGACAGAAGUUUGCCUGAUAGUAGGUGUUUAAAGCCACCUCCUAAACGCAUUUGUUGUGAAGGAAAAGAAAAAGCCACCAACACUCUGUUGAUCAAAAAAAAAUUAGUUUUCCUAAUCCAUAAAAAUCCAUGUUGGGAUUCAUUGCCCUAAGUGAAUAUACAGAUUACCUCUCUUCCUCCAAGGAUCUGAAAUAUAUAUAAGAAAAACCUGGAUACUCAAAGUCACCACCUAACCUAGAAAUUGUAUCCAACAGAAAGUUUCCACCACCUCCCCUUUGCACCCAGUGUCCUGCUAGAACUGCCAGCCCAGGUGGACUUUUCCAUGCUGCUUCUCCCCUUGAUCUCCUUGAUGACUAAAAUCAGGCAACAGAAGGCAGACGGUGGAGACUCAAAUGACUGAAUCAUCCAUCUGCAUGUAGAUCCUUGAAAACAAGAUUUUUCUGCAGCCCAACCCACAGUUAGAUCAUGUGCCCAGUUGAGUCUCGUAGUUAAUGGAAACAGGUGUCAGGAGCCAAACACAGCAACCUGCAGGCUUUAGCGUGGCUUUCAGGAUCACAAGCUUGUACAGGAUUCAUUCAUCACUUUGGAGCUUAAAGGAGAAGCUUGAACUGAGACCAUUUUCCAGGAAGAUCAUCCCACAGGGCCUGAGGCAGAAUCAACAUCACCCCUACCUGGAAAACAGGGGCUCAUUUGCUUUGAAAGAACCUCCUGUGGGCCACUACACUAGCAAUUUCUUUUUUCAAUCCAAAAAAAUAGGAUAAAUCCAUUAUUAGUCACUAAGCCAAGAUUUACUACAAAAAUUGACAUCCAGGAAAAUGUUGGCUUGUCUAAGUUGAAAGGAAAUUUCUGUAUCCACAUUUGUUUUCAUAUUAGUUUCAUUAUUUCUCUCCAGCCUGGUAUAAUGAUUCAUCUGUGAAUUGGAAUCACUUUCCUGGGAUCCUUUUAGCCAAUGCAUGUGUCUGGCUUCCUCAGAAAAUUAAACACCACAAUCUUGGUUCUAAAACAUCCUCAGAGGCUCAGGAGAAGGCAAGGUUGAAAAGUUCAGCUUUUACUGCUAUUUAUGGUAUUAUCACA